RNAcentral lists this ribosomal RNA (422 nucleotides) under uncultured Glomeraceae. RNAcentral's name for it is "SSU rRNA". It matches the Rfam family "Eukaryotic small subunit ribosomal RNA", at positions 459 to 886 of the family's 1831-position model. The record is from RNAcentral. Lineage: Eukaryota; Fungi; Glomeromycota; Glomeromycetes; Glomerales; Glomeraceae.
GGGAGGUAGUGACAAUAAAUAACAAUACGGGGUUCUUUUGGGUCUUGUAAUUGGAAUGAGUACAAUUUAAAUCUCUUAACGAGGAACAAUUGGAGGGCAAGUCUGGUGCCAGCAGCCGCGGUAAUUCCAGCUCCAAUAGCGUAUAUUAAAGUUGCUGCAGUUAAAAAGCUCGUAGUUGAAUUUCGGGACCAUCAUGUCGGUCGUGCCUCGGUACGUACUGGUAUUGUUGGUUUCUCCCUUCUGACGAACCAUGAUGUCAUUUAUUUGGUGUUGUGGGGAAUCAGGACUGUUACUUUGAAAAAAUUAGAGUGUUUAAAGCAAGCUAACGCUUGAAUACAUUAGCAUGGAAUAAUGAAAUAGGACGUUCGAUCCUAUUUUGUUGGUUUCUAGGAUUGACGUAAUGAUUAAUAGGGAUAGUUGGG